UCCCAUAAUGUCUGACAUGCCCUUCGUGUU
This 30-nucleotide non-coding RNA is filed under the name Mus musculus (house mouse). Lineage: Eukaryota; Metazoa; Chordata; Mammalia; Rodentia; Muridae. The record is from RNAcentral.